RNAcentral lists this ribosomal RNA (1134 nucleotides) under uncultured Bacillus sp. RNAcentral describes it as "bacterial SSU rRNA". It matches the Rfam family "Bacterial small subunit ribosomal RNA", at positions 48 to 1161 of the family's 1533-position model. The record is from RNAcentral. Lineage: Bacteria; Bacillati; Bacillota; Bacilli; Caryophanales; Bacillaceae.
GCUAUACAUGCAGUCGAGCGAAUGCAAGGGAGCUUGCUCCCAAUGAUUAGCGGCGGACGGGUGAGUAACACGUGGGUAACCUGCCUGUAAGAUUGGGAUAACUCCGGGAAACCGGAGCUAAUACCGGAUAACAUUUUGAACCGCAUGGUUCAAAAUUAAAAGGGGGCUUUUGCUACCACUUACAGAUGGACCCGCGGCGCAUUAGCUAGUUGGUGAGGUAAUGGCUCACCAAGGCAACGAUGCGUAGCCAACCUGAGAGGGUGAUCGGCCACACUGGGACUGAGACACGGCCCAGACUCCUACGGGAGGCAGCAAUAGGGAAUCUUCCGCAAUGGACGAAAGUCUGACGGAGCAACGCCGCGUGAACGAUGAAGGCCUUCGGGUCGUAUAGUUCUGUUGUUAGGGAAGAACAAGUACCAGAGUAACUGCUGGUACCUUGACGGUACCUAACCAGAAAGCCACGGCUAACUACGUGCCAGCAGCCGCGGUAAUACGUAGGUGGCAAGCGUUGUCCGGAAUUAUUGGGCGUAAAGCGCGCGCAGGUGGUUUCUUAAGUCUGAUGUGAAAGCCCACGGCUCAACCGUGGAGGGUCAUUGGAAACUGGGGAACUUGAGUGCAGAAGAGGAAAGUGGAAUUCCACGUGUAGCGGUGAAAUGCGUAGAGAUGUGGAGGAACACCAGUGGCGAAGGCGACUUUCUGGUCUGUAACUGACACUGAGGCGCGAAAGCGUGGGGAGCACACAGGAUUAGAUACCCUGGUAGUCCACGCCGUACACGAUGAGUGCUAAGUGUUAGAGGGUUUCCGCCCUUUAGUGCUGCAGCUAACGCAUUAAGCACUCCGCCUGGGGAGUACGGUCGCAAGACUGACACUCAAAGGAAUUGACGGGGGCCCGCACAAGCGGUGGAGCAUGUAGGUUUAAUUCGAAGCAACGCGAAGACCCUUACCACGUCUUGACAUCCCACUGCUCGGUAUAGAGAUAUACCUUUCCCUUCGGGGACAGUGGAUGACAGGUGGUGCAUGGUUGUCGUCAGCUCGUGUCGUGAGAUGAUGCGGUUAGUCCCGCACGAGCGCAACUCGUUGAUCUAAGUUGCCAGCAUUCAGUUGGGCAACUUCUAAGGUGACUGGCCNGGUNAC